This 71-nucleotide transfer RNA is filed under the name Cordylochernes scorpioides. RNAcentral describes it as "tRNA-Gly". Lineage: Eukaryota; Metazoa; Arthropoda; Arachnida; Pseudoscorpiones; Chernetidae. The record is from RNAcentral.
UGCAUCGCCCGGGAAUCGAACCCAGGACGCCCGCGUGGCAGGCGAGCCUUCUACCACUGAACCACCGAAGG